Molecule: ribosomal RNA, 741 nt
Filed under: uncultured bacterium
Lineage: Bacteria
Description: bacterial SSU rRNA
Rfam family: Bacterial small subunit ribosomal RNA
Source: RNAcentral
UUGAUCCUGGCUCCCGAUGAAUACUGAUAGAAUGCUUAACACAUGCGAGUCAACUUGAACUUCGGUUUGGGUGGCGGACGGGUGAGUAACGCGUAAAGAACUUGCCUCACAGAUAGGGACAACAUUUGGAAACGAGUGCUAAUACCUGAUAUUAUGAUUUUAGGGCAUCCUAGGAUUAUGAAAGCUAUAUGCGCUGUGAGAGAGCUUUGCGUCCCAUUAGGUAGUUGGAGAGGUAACGGCUCACCAAGGCGAUGAUGGGUAGCCGGCCUGAGAGGGUGAUCGGCCACAAGGGGACUGAGACACGGCCCUUACUCCUACGGGAGGCAGCAGUGGGGAAUAUUGGACAAUGGACCAAGAGUCUGAUCCAGCAAUUCUGUGUGCACGAUGAAGUUUUUCGGAAUGUAAAGUGCUUUCAGUUGGGAAGAAAAAAAUGACGGUACCAACAGAAGAAGUGACGGCUAAAUACGUGCCAGCAGCCGCGGUAAUACGUAUGUCACAAGCGUUAUCCGGAUUUAUUGGGCGUAAAGCGCGUCUAGGUGGUUAUAUAAGUCUGAUGUGAAAAUGCAGGGCUCAACUCUGUAUUGCGUUGGAAACUGUGUAACUAGAGUACUGGAGAGGUAGGCGGAACUACAAGUGUAGAGGUGAAAUUCGUAGAUAUUUGUAGGAAUGCCGAUGGGGAAGCCAGCUUACUGGACAGAUACUGACGCUGAAGCGCGAAAGCGUGGGUAGCAAACAGGAUUA